UCACCACACCUACUCACUACUACGCAAGUAGUAGUGGAUAUCGCUACUACCGACCGAUCAGCUGUUCACACACUACACACCACACACGCACAUAACCGCAUUAUAGUAUAAUUAAACAUUGUAUUGUGCAAUAAUCUACUGAUUUGUGUUUGGUGAAACAAGUUUUUUUUGUUAGUUGAAUAUAUACAUAUAUAAAUUUGAUAUAGACGUUUUUGGUUUUGUUUUAAAAUCGUUACGGCAAAUUUAAAGUUUAAAAAAACUCAAAUAGUUUUUUAUUCAUAUUUUUUCUUUUCACUAAUUGCGAGGAUCAAUUUUUUAAGCUACUAAUUAGCUACUAAAGAUAUUUUAUUGUGAUUCAUUGCUACUAAUUAGCUACCGUAUUCUAGUCAGUUGUUAGAUUUAAAUUUGUGUUACCAAAAAUUGUAUUUAGUUAAUUUCAUUUGUUAUUGUUGUGAUACGUGUUUUAGUUUUAGGUAGCAUCUCUGGCCAGCAGCUCUGCGAAUUGCGAAGAAAAAGUUAAGAAGCUAAUUAAAAUAUUUACUCAUAAAAAUUAGAUUGAAUUAACAAAAAACUUUGCAAGUUUAUGAUUAUGAAAAAACUAACAAUGCUUAUGAGAACCUUGGCGAGAUUAAAAUUAAUGAUCAUAUUCGACUCAAUGAAAAUACAGUAACAAUUGGUAACUUAACUGAAAAAAUGAAGGAAGCUAGUGAAAAACAUGUUUUAACUAGUAUUAAAACAACCGGUCGGAUGUGAAGAGGAAGCGUCGCCAUCACUACCCAGUUGUAAAACCGGAGUGCAAUGUGACACGAGUCCGAUCCAUAGGGACAGCUGAUCUACUUGUAGGUUCUCCAGCUCGGUGAAAUCCGGCUUAAUGAUUUUAUCUUGGCUAAAUGGCCUAGAAUGGCCAAUCACCUUUUUACGCUCUACAUUAUCGUGGUGUCCUACGGCGAUACGCGAUGGACGAUUGGGGUAAUUUUGGACUCUUGAUCGACUGGACCGUUGUCGUCCAUUGAUCUACCAUUCUGUAAAAAAAUGAUAUUUUUUUGUUUAUUACAUUACCCACUAAUCCAUCAGUCCUAAGAUUAAUUUUUACAAAAUAUUUUUGUAUUGAUAUUAUUGUUUCUCAGCACAUUUUAUUUUCAUUUUUAUGCAGGCGUACCUAAUUAAAUACAAGAAUAACUUAACUUUAUUAUAUAAUCUCUCUCUAUUAACCAAUUUACAUGAUUGCCUGUGUUUGCUUCAGAUAAUUAAAACUCAUUUCAGGAGAUACGGACAUUUUUGAACAGACGUCAGGUGCUUCCGAUUUUUGGUUUGACUAAAAUCCUCAAAUUUUAAACUAAUCCCUAACAGCACCACACAGAUAAAUUUAUGAUUUGAUUUUUAAAUAAUACGAAAAAAAGAAAACAAGGUUAAUUGAGUAACUCGAGUAGUCAACAGAGCACAUAUUCAGUUUUCCAAUUGGUGUCGAGCCGUUUAUUUAAUAGAAAUGACACCAGAGACACAAUAUUCACUAACUUACAUACAUAGUGUUAGUAAAUGCUAUGUCACGAGUAGUAGGGUGAUUUUUUAUGGGGUUUUUUACAUCAAAAUAAUUAUUUCUAAUUAUCCUAUUGUAAUAAAGUUUAAAAUAUUCAUUUCAAUCUUGUGAUUGUUUUAUUUUUCCAAUCUAAAAAGAAAAAAAUAAAAACAUUAUAUGAGUUUUAAUGAUAAAAAUUAUAAUCGGUUUGAAUAAAUAAUAAAAGAUGAAAUAAACUCGUGAAAUUAAAAAAGUAUCACAUUAUCUGUGUGUUUUUUCCAGUUUUUCUAGUUAUAUAACCGUUUAAACUAAAAAUAAACUGCAUCACAAAACUCCCAGUGAAAUUUCAAAACAAAUUGAUGGGUAACACUAAAGUAAAUUUUUUUUCUAACUCUGAACCCAAAGUUUAGAAGAGGGCACGAAAGUUACAAAAAAUCAAGUGACCACUCAAUUUGUAUGUGAAUUUUGUGGGAAAUACCGUGGUGAUGUUUAUUAUGGAUAAAAAUAAAAUUUAUAGCAGGGUAACUGGAAAACCUCAAUUUUGGAGAUAGGAAAUUUUAGUUUUUGAUUUCGCUAUUUUUAGGUCCUACUGAAUAUCACCCUACUACUCGUGACAUAGCAUUUACUAACACCCUAUAUAAAAGAAAAGAAGAACAACAGAAACAAUCGUCGUAACUCACAAAAGACGGUCAGCUUAAGUUACCGAGUCGUGUCAGCUCUUUAAACCGAGAGAAACCGAUUCGCACACUGUGAAUACUAUAUAUAUACUUUAUGUAUAAAUAUCUAUACGACAGCCUGACGCAAUGGGUCUAGAUGAACGCCAGAACGGAACAGCACGCAUAAUUAGUAAUACACUGUGAGCGCUGGCCUUGACAACCCCCCACCCCUAAAGGGCACGAUGUCCACCGAUUGUCAUAUUCUUAGGUAGACAGCAGAUAUCGAUUGUGUGGCAGCCUAGAGCGGUGCCGUGUCAUAACAAAAAAGCAAUAAUAUUAAUCCAAUAACUUUUUAUUGUUUCAAGAAAAUAAUUAUAAUUUCUAUACACAUGUAGUAUUCAUAAUAGUCAGUGUAUUGGUUUUUAAUACUGCGUCGUCUGAUUCUAAUAUAUUUAUAAUUAUUAAUUCAGGCCCCUAACAGAUUGAAUGUAGUUUUAAUUAUAAAAAAAACCUUUCUAUUUGUUUUUCGCUACAUGUUAAAUAAAGUGUUAAGACUCGAUUGGUUUAUGAUUUAAAGUAUAUUGGUAUAAGUGUAAAAACAUUCAAAUACUACUUAAAUAGUUUACAAAAGAAAACCUGUAUUUAAUUACUCCAAAUAUCCAGGUGUACCUAUUAUCAUAUUUUCCCUUUUGAAUAUUCAUGUAAUAUUAUUAAUUUAAUAAAUAUUUUCGUUUCGAAAAUGUAAAUAUAUAUCUAUAUACAAUCAGAUAGCAAUUUAAAAAAAAAUGAUAUCUGGUACAAAAUAUAUAAUAGCCACUAUACUAUAUUUUAAUACUAUGUCGUCUAAUUCUAAUAUAUUUUUAAUUAUUGAUUAAAAGUAAAUGUCACAUUGAAAAAUUUUCUAUUCGCUAUUCUCCGUUACAUAUAAAGUAUUAAGACUCAAUUUAUCUAUGAUUUAAAAUAUUAACUUUAAAUAAAGAAUAAACAAUGAUCUAUAAGGCCAAGAGCUAUUUUUGUUUUAUUUUUUUAGAUAUGAGAUUGUUGCAAAAAUCAAGAAAAUAUGUACUUUAUAAAAUAUAACAUAUUUAAAAUUAGAUGUAGUCUUUACAAAUAAAAUACCUAUGUUACCUGAUUCAUAAAGUACUAUAAAAUAGCAUUUUAUAUACAUUUUAAUUUUAUUAAAGUAUUUAAACUUUAGUAUAGUAAAUCUAUAUAAAAACCAAUAAUGAAUAUUUUGCUAAUAAUCAUAAUUUUAAUUACUUCAUUUUACACUUCUUUGUGUUACACAAAUGAAGAAAUGGUUAAGAAGUUGAAUAAAAUUUUUACUCAUAAAAAUUGGAUUGAGUUGACCAAAGAUUUGGAAAUUUAUAAUUAUAAAGAAACUAACAAUGUCUAUGAGAAACUUGAUAAAAUUAACAUUAGUGAUCAUAUUCGACCCAAUGAAAAUACAGUAACUAUUGAAAAUUUAACUGAAAAAAUGAAGAUUGGUUGAAUAAUAUUGAGUUCAAUUUACUACGCAAUUGUUAUAGAUUUCAAUUUGUUAAUUUUGUAUAAAUUUGUAUAAAUACAAAAGAAAAUUUAAAACAUCAAGAUUUAAAAUAUGAACUCUCUCUUUAUUAAAUAUUUAUGACGAAAAAUUUAAAAACUUCAGUGAAGUUAUUAUGCCCAUUAAUAAUACAAUAUAUAAACCAUUGAACCUUGCCCCCAGUUAUUCAAAACGCGAUAUUCCAUACGGUAUAGAUACAUUUUGCACAAAUUUGGGCUUCAAAAUGGGAUUUAUGAAACAAACUAAAAUUUUACUCCAGAAAAGUAUGCACUUUUAAUAAUUUGUGUCAAACUGUUUAAAUUACCUCUAGACUUUAUUAACUCAGAAUACUAGAUUAUUUUAAAGUAGGUGAUUAACUAACAUUUAUAAACAUUCAAAUUUCAUAAUUAAAUAAUGUUAAAAAAAUUUAAUAAUUUAAUUAAAAAAGUCAUAGUGUAACAAUUUCUA
Molecule: long non-coding RNA, 4165 nt
Organism: Daktulosphaira vitifoliae (grape phylloxera)
Lineage: Eukaryota; Metazoa; Arthropoda; Insecta; Hemiptera; Phylloxeridae
Exons: 3
Source: RefSeq, a predicted model, not a curated record